UACGUAGGUGACAAGCGUUGUCCGGAUUUACUGGGCGUAAAGAGCGCGCAGGCGGUCGUUCAAGUCGAGUGUGAAAGCCCCCGGCUCAACUGGGGAGGGUCAUUCGAUACUGAUCGACUCGAAGGCAGGAGAGGGUAGUGGAAUUCCCGGUGUAGUGGUGAAAUGCGUAGAUAUCAGGAGGAACACCAAUUGCGAAGGCAGCUCGCUGGGACGUUACUGACGCUGAGACGCGAAAGCUAGGGGAGCAAACGGG
RNAcentral lists this ribosomal RNA (253 nucleotides) under uncultured bacterium. RNAcentral's name for it is "partial 16S ribosomal RNA". It matches the Rfam family "Bacterial small subunit ribosomal RNA", at positions 524 to 776 of the family's 1533-position model. The record is from RNAcentral.